Molecule: ribosomal RNA, 234 nt
Filed under: Pneumocystis carinii
Lineage: Eukaryota; Fungi; Ascomycota; Pneumocystomycetes; Pneumocystales; Pneumocystaceae
Description: partial large subunit ribosomal RNA
Rfam family: Bacterial large subunit ribosomal RNA
Source: RNAcentral
GCUGGUUUUCUGCGAAAAUUGUUUUGGCAAAUUGUUUAUGAAUGUAUAAAUAGUGGGUAUAGCACUGAAUACUUUGAGGGAGUAUUGUUAUAUUUAUCUCGAGUGUUUAAUCUCAAAAUAACUAUUUAUUUUAUGUAAAUAAUCAGACUAUUUGCGAUAAGGUAGAUAGUCAAAAGGGAAACAGCCCAGAACAGUUAUUAAAGCUCCCCAAUUAAUAUUAAGUGAGAAUUCCCA